GCCGGGAUUACAGGCGUGAGCCACCGCGCCCGGCCGACAUCAUUUGUAUUUUUCAGGACUGACCAAAAUUCACAACGAGAAGGGGGUUGCCUACUACAAUGGGAAUUUCUCCAGACAAGUUAAAAAAACAAAGGCUUCAACAUCAGAAGCUGCCCUAUACAUUGUGGGAUAUUGAGCAGUGUAUCUGGUCCCUAUUCACUAGAUGCCU
RNAcentral lists this long non-coding RNA (208 nucleotides) under Homo sapiens (human). RNAcentral describes it as "HSALNT0208756". Lineage: Eukaryota; Metazoa; Chordata; Mammalia; Primates; Hominidae. The record is from RNAcentral.